UACAGAGGGUGCAAGCGUUAAUCGGAAUUACUGGGCGUAAAGCGUGCGUAGACGGUUACAUAAGUCGGGUGUGAAAGCCCCGGGCUCAACCUGGGAAUUGCAUUCGAGACUGCGUAGCUAGGGUGCGGAAGAGGGAAGCGGAAUUUCCGGUGUAGCGGUGAAAUGCGUAGAUAUCUGGAGGAACACCGGUGGCGAAGGCGGCAUCCUGGACCAAUUCUGACGCUGAGUGAGCGAAAGCCAGGGGAGCAAACGGG
Molecule: ribosomal RNA, 254 nt
Filed under: uncultured bacterium
Lineage: Bacteria
Description: partial 16S ribosomal RNA
Rfam family: Bacterial small subunit ribosomal RNA
Source: RNAcentral